GAUGAACGCUAGCGGCAGGCCUAAUACAUGCAAGUCGGACGGGAUUGAGGAGCUUGCUUCUCAUGAGAGUGGCGCACGGGUGCGUAACACGUAUGUAACCUACCUUAAUCAGGGGGAUAGCCUCUCGAAAGAGAGAUUAACACCGCAUAACAUGAUGAGAUAGCAUUAUUUUAUCAUCAAGUAUUUAUAGGAUUAAGAUGGGCAUGCGGGACAUUAGCUAGUUGGCGGGGUAACGGCCCACCAAGGCGACGAUGCCUAGGGGAUCUGAGAGGAUGGCCCCCCACACUGGUACUGAGACACGGACCAGACUCCUACGGGAGGCAGCAGUAAGGAAUAUUGGUCAAUGGGCGCAAGCCUGAACCAGCCAUGCCGCGUGCAGGAAGACGGCCCUACGGGUUGUAAACUGCUUUUGUACGGGAAUAAACCUUGAUACGUGUAUCAAGCUGAAUGUACUGUAAGAAUAAGGAUCGGCUAACUCCGUGCCAGCCGCCGCCGUAA
This 498-nucleotide ribosomal RNA is filed under the name uncultured bacterium. RNAcentral describes it as "partial 16S ribosomal RNA". It matches the Rfam family "Bacterial small subunit ribosomal RNA", at positions 28 to 523 of the family's 1533-position model. The record is from RNAcentral.